AAAGCGAGGCCGGGGACUGAAGGUGUGGGUGUCGAGCCCUCUGGCAGAGGGUUAACCUGGGUCAAAUGCACGGAUUCUCACCUCGUACAGUUACGCUCUCCCGCGGCACGUCCGCGAGGACUUGAAGUCCUGAGCGCUCAAGUUUGUCCGUAGGUCGAGAGAAGGCCAUGGAGGUGCCGCCACCGGCACCGCGGAGCUUUCUCUGUAGAGCAUUGUGCCUAUUUCCCCGAGUCUUUGCUGCCGAAGCUGUGACUGCCGAUUCGGAAGUCCUUGAGGAGCGUCAGAAGCGGCUUCCCUACGUCCCAGAGCCCUAUUACCCGGAAUCUGGAUGGGACCGCCUCCGGGAGCUGUUUGGCAAAGAGUAAAAGUGCCUAGGGUGUGAAGUGGGGUAGGGGGCCGCGAAAGCGGUGUCCUGCAGCGUGGGCAGCCUGGGUCAGCCUUAGGACACCAAGGAUGUGAACAGCAGAGAAUUUCAAAGGACCUUGCUAAUAUCUGUAAGACGGCAGCUACAGCAGGCAUCAUUGGCUGGGUGUAUGGGGGAAUACCAGCUUUUAUUCAUGCUAAACAACAAUACAUUGAGCAGAGCCAGGCAGAAAUUUAUCAUAACCGGUUUGAUGCUGUGCAAUCUGCACAUCGUGCUGCCACACGAGGCUUCAUUCGUUAUGGCUGGCGCUGGGGUUGGAGAACUGCAGUGUUUGUGACUAUAUUCAACACAGUGAACACUAGUCUGAAUGUAUACCGAAAUAAAGAUGCCUUAAGCCAUUUUGUAAUUGCAGGAGCUGUCACGGGAAGUCUUUUUAGGAUAAACGUAGGCCUGCGUGGCCUGGUGGCUGGUGGCAUAAUUGGAGCCUUGCUGGGCACUCCUGUAGGAGGCCUGCUGAUGGCAUUUCAGAAGUACUCUGGUGAGACUGUUCAGGAAAGAAAACAGAAGGAUCGAAAGGCACUCCAUGAGCUAAAACUGGAAGAGUG
This 969-nucleotide long non-coding RNA is filed under the name Homo sapiens (human). RNAcentral's name for it is "HSALNT0059371". The record is from RNAcentral. Lineage: Eukaryota; Metazoa; Chordata; Mammalia; Primates; Hominidae.